This 2323-nucleotide long non-coding RNA is filed under the name Mus musculus (house mouse). RNAcentral describes it as "long non-coding RNA chr7:92408183-92410506". Lineage: Eukaryota; Metazoa; Chordata; Mammalia; Rodentia; Muridae. The record is from RNAcentral.
GUCUUUGUUCAUUUGAAGAUGUCCCAGGCGUCUUCAAUGUGUUCUCUUUUGUGUAUGACUAUAAUAUUUCCAAUGACCAGGUUUUGUGUAAUUUUUUUUCCUUUUUAUCUAGUCUCUUCUUUAGUCUCUCAACCAUAUUUUUACCUUUAUUGAAAUCUUCACUUCUAAGAUUUCUAUUUGGUUCUUUUAUUUAAAAAAAAAGUCUAUUGCUCUGCCAAAUUUCCCUUUUAUAUUCUGUAUUAUCUUUCCAAUUCCAUUCAAUUGCUUAUAUGUACUGUCUCUUAGAUCUCAUUAAGAUUUUUAUAUGCCUUCUUUUAAAUUGGGCUUUAAUUCCUUUUUAAAUUCUUUUUUCAUCAGUGAAGCUGGGUAAGCGGCUCAGUUGUUUAGAGCCUUUCUUGUUCUUCCAGAGGAUCAGAGUUCAGUUGUUAGCACCCAUACUGGGCAGCUCACAAAUGCCUGUAACGCCAGCUCCAAAGUAUCCAGCGCCCUCUUCUGGCGUCUCUGGGCACCUACAAAUACCACAUACACUCACAUUGACACAAAAAGUUGUACUUUGAUUUUUAAGACAGGGUUUCUCUAUGUAGUCUUGACUGUUGUGGAAUUCGUUCUGUAGACCAGGCUAACAUCAAACUCACAGAAAUACUCCUGUCUCUGCCUCCCAAGUGCUGAGAUUAAAGUCAUGGGCCAUCAUUGAUUGCUCAGCUAAACACAUAGAUUUUAUAAAUAAAUCUUUGAAAUUAUUUAGGCAGUUGUGGUGGUACAAGCCAGUAGGGCAUGGUAAAGAGGGUCACAAAAUUGAGGCCAGUGUGGUUUACAUCAUUUAUACAUUUUCUCAUUUUUAAAAAAAGUAACAUGUUUAUUAGCAUGCACAAGAUUACAUGCCAGAUUACUAUACAAGAUUAUGGGUUUCUCUGUGGCCAUGCACAGACUCACGAGGAAUUCAGAGCUGAAGACAGGCACAGAUGUAUGUUCCAACACAUCUCACGCCAGUGCAGCACUCAGGUGUCCCUGAUUGAUGGGGAUGAAGGAACACUAUAGUUCCCAUUGCCUGCUUCGUGAGCAUAGCACCCUCACUGCAGGACAGUGAACAGGCUUAGGCUACUCCUCUGGGCCAAUUUGUGUUUGCAAGAUAGCUUUGUCCAAACCAAUGAAAAAUGAAAUGUCUGGAGUCUCAUAAAUGGGACUGUACUGAGUGUUCUGGCCCCUACACAGUGCAAAUUCAGACAGUGGAUCGCUUCUUAAAGUGGAUCCUGGCUACAGAACCUAGAGCGUUCCCUGGGAGAUGCCAAAAGAAUGCUGAACAAUGUUCAGAGUACAGGGGGAUUACUGGCCUUUCUGAUAGCUAGAAUUAGCAUCUAGAUCAGAAGGUCUCAACCUGUGGGUUGCGACCCGUUUGCAAAUGUCUGUCUCCAGAACUAUUUACACUAUGAUUCAUAACAGUAGCGAGAUUACAGUUAUGAAGGAGCAAUGAAAAUUAUUUGAUGGUUGGAGGGAUCACCACUCCAUGAGGAAAGGGUCACAGCAUUAGGAGGGUUGCAAACCACUGAUCUAGAUGCUGUUGGAGUUAACCCUGAAACUCUCUUUCCCUCCAGUCACCCAGCUCAAAAUGCAGUUACAUACAUACUUGUUUUGUUGGCAGAAAUAGUUUGGUUGUUUUACUCAACUUCGUUGAGAUAGAGUGAGUGCUGGGACUGUCUGUUCCGUCAUCUUGUCCCUCUCAGCUUAAUUUCAAAGCCAUAUAAGCUUUUGUAUAUACCAAAGAUCAUCCAACAAAACUGAUGUUUUAGAAUCGAUGGUGAGUUUUAAUUGUAGAAGACGGGAAGGAUUUGGUCAAGUGGUUUAAAGAGACAGUAGAGAUGGUAGACAGGCAAGUGUAUAUGAAUCUGGAGUUCAUGGAAGAAAUGCAACUGGAGGUCAGUUUGGAUGUAGUCAACCAUUGGCAUGAUAGAUAGGUUAUGAAGCAUGUGUCAGGAGAGAAUGAGAGGGAUAAGACAGGGAUAAGAGAGAAAGGAGGAAAGAUCAAGAAUUGAGCAUAUGUUUCUUCCAAAUAAUAGAGACUGAAAGGUAAGAAAGAUCUAGAAGAAGGGACUAAGGAUAAAAUGUUUCACUGGGAAGUGAGUAAUGAAAAUUGUACCAUCAGUCAUCAACCAAGUGUUUCAGGGAAGGAAAUGGGAUGAAUCUUGUCUAAUGGGUAGACUUAAAUUUAGAAAAGGGGUGGGGGGUAACAUGGGAUCAGAUAGCAGUCCUGAACUUGACUUCUAGAGUUCAUUGAUGACUUUACAAAGAACAGUUUAGAUCACGAGGUUGAUUUUUUUUUCCCUGU